RNAcentral lists this long non-coding RNA (1104 nucleotides) under Equus caballus (horse). RNAcentral describes it as "lncRNA (ENSECAG00000041600.2)". The record is from RNAcentral. Lineage: Eukaryota; Metazoa; Chordata; Mammalia; Perissodactyla; Equidae.
GGGCCGGGCGCGGGCUUGCGGUCAGUGCAUGCGUGCCCGCCGCUGGGGCGCGGCGCCUCGUGUUCGGGUGCCGAGGCGGCUGUCUGCAGCAGGUCGGCCUCGGCGCUGCGGCCGCCAUCACAGUCGAGGCCGCUUCCGGGGCCCGGCGCCGCUGCUGCCGGAGACAAAGCCGCGGCUCUCGGCGCCCCGCCGCCAGAACGACCAAAAGAGCUCGCUGGUCCCGAGACAAGGUUUUGGGGACAAGCUUGCAUUUUUGAACACUUCGACUUUUUCUUACCAUGUUUGCUUCCUUUUAAGUAUUAUUACAGUCUACAAGUUACAUAUUCCGGGAAUAGUUUGAAAAUACUUUUGAAUUAUGUUCCUCCCGUGGGAAGGGAUUAUUAAAUUUGGACCAUCUAAACACAUUGUCUUCAUCAAUCCCGAUAAACUCAGUGGGCUCUUUCUAACGUAACUCCAGACAAAAAUAAAGAGAAUCAUAAAACCCUUCGAAGAAAACUCCCGGUCCGUGGAGAGUCCCCAGAUGCCAAUUUAGAACAUGUAGAUCGCCUUUUAGAUAACACUUGAAGUUUUGCCUAGUUUAGAUCUAGACUUGGAAUUCGUAGCUGUUUGUGAAGACACUUGGCUGAGUUUUUUUCUUUAUUGCAAAACAAAAACUUCUCCCUUUGUUCAAUGAAAAUUAAUUCGGCUUUUUGUUGUUCGUUUUAAGCAGUUCCGAUGUGUUCUUGAAAAUCUGGACCAAAGAACAAAGCCAAAGAAAACGAGAUGAAAACCACCGAGUGUUCGAUUACCCAAAGCGAAGCCACAUUGACGUCUUGGCUUAUUGGCCUGUUUCCGUAUGAGAUACUAAAUUCUCACGCACUCAUGUAUAGAAUGUGACAGUUUGCUUUCUCAGCAUGACUUGCCAGGCGGUGCCAUGUCAGCAUGCGGUAUCAGAACCGGGGAACCCCAGGCCACCGAGAAGCAGAACGUGUGAACUUAACUGCUGUGCCACCGGGCCUGCCCCUGUGUGUCACUUUUGUGUGGAAGUCAUAUGAAAGUGGCAGGAGAAGCCACCGGGGGUCUCCCUCCCCCUGUCUGCCGCAGGAUAAAGCAUGUCUACACCGC